This 1561-nucleotide unclassified non-coding RNA is filed under the name Hevea brasiliensis (rubber tree). Lineage: Eukaryota; Viridiplantae; Streptophyta; Magnoliopsida; Malpighiales; Euphorbiaceae. The record is from RNAcentral.
CUCCAGAAGCUGGAUUUGUCACAUUGAAUUAGAAGAUAAAAACUGGGGUAGCCUCAAAAAAUCUUUUAAAAAAAAAGUUAUUCUCAAUUUGAUACAGUAGCAGCAGACUCCAAUGGAGAUUGAUCCUUGAGUGCUUCCCAGUCAACUUGCCUCAAUAUUUCAAACCUCUCAUUCAAUGUGACAAAUCCAGCUUCUGGAGAAACAACACCACAAGUUCCAGCCUUAUGCAGACAGGAUCACACUAGAACCUAUAUCGGGGCCAUGGAGCUUUCCGGUUAGCAAUAACCUAAGUGGCAUGAAAAGUGAUUUCCCCUUGCGCUUAAGAGAUUUGCCGAAGUUCUUCACCCACUUCUGCCAACCAGAUGGGCCUUCUUCUAGGGCACUUAGGAGUUCACCACUGUCAUAUGCAGCUAAGAGCCUGGAUGAAACUUCAAAAAGCUUAUCUUCUACAACUGUCUUACCUUCUGGACUCACUAAAGUAGCAUGUAAGGGAUAAGAUAGCAAAUUUGACAGUGCUUUGUCCGAAUCAGUCACCAAGUCAAUCCCAUCUUUUAGUAGCUGAACUGCUUCUUCUAUAAAUGAUCCUUCUGACUCCACAAGGAUACCAGUGUUCUUCCAAUGUUCACCAAUAAGGUUGAUCAAUUUCUCUGAUGAAAGUGCUCUUAAAUGCUGACCAUUCAUCCACCUCAAUUUUGUAGAGUCAAAAAUGGCACCACUUUUGUUAACGCGGCUGAUUGAGAAUUUUUCAACAAGUUGCUCAAGGGUGAAAAACUCAUUUUCUGUUCCAUCGCCCCAACCUAAAAGUGCCAGGUAAUUCACCAUUGCUUGGGGAAGAUACCCCAUCUCCUUGAACUGACCCACUGAAGUUGCACCAUGCCGUUUUGACAAUUUACUCCGAUCCGGAGCAAGAAUUAAAGAAACAUGUGCAAAGGAAGGCAUGGGGAAUCCAAGAGCCUUAUAUAUCAAUGCUUGCCUGAGAGUAUUGGGCAAAUGCUCUUCAGCUCUUAUCACAUGCGAGAUGGCCAUGGUAGCAUCAUCAACUGUAACACAAAAGUUAUACACAGGUUGUCCAUUGCUCCUCAUAAUUACAAAAUCUCCAAGUGUGUCCAAGUUCCAGCUAACUUCACCCCGAAUAAGGUCAUUAAUUUUCAAACUCCCCUCCUUUGGCACACGAAACCGAUAUGUGUAAGGAGUUCCCUUUGCAAGCUCUUCCUGUACUUCUUCAUCAGUUGCAGUAGCCCACUUCCCAGUGUACACUGGAGGCAACUGCUUUAGUUUUGCAAUUUCCUUCAUUUUCUCUAGUUCCUCAUUAGAACAAAAGCAGCGAUAAACAUGACCAGAUUCCAAGAGUUUCUCAGCAUAUUGCUUAUACAAAGAAUUCCUUUCAGAUUGUCGAUAUGGACCGUAGUCUCCACCAACAUCAGGCCCUUCAUCCCAGUCAAGGUCAAGCCAAGAAAGAUCCCGGAGCACUGCCUCCUCUGAUUGCUUAGAUGAUCUCUCCAAGUCAGUAUCUUCAAUCCUCAACACAAAUUUGCCUCCAUUGGACCUAGCAAAAAGGUAA